UGACCGUGCGAAGGUAGCAUAAUCAUUAGUCUUUUAAUUGAAGGCUUGUAUGAAUGGUUGGACGAGAAGUAAUCUGUCUCUAUUAAAAAAAUUGAAUUUAACUUUUGAGUGAGAAGGCUUAAAUAAUCUAGAGGGACGAUAAGACCCUAUAAAGUUUAACAUUAUAAUAAUAAAAAGUUGAUUGGGUUGAAGAACUUAUUAUUAUGAAUAGUGUUUUGUUGGGGCGACAAGAAUAUAAAUAAUUUAACUGUUCUUUUUUGUAUCAAAAAUAUUUGGAUUAAUGAUCUUUUUAAGAGUAUUAGAGUAAAUUACUUUAGGGAUAACAGCGUAAUUUUUUUUGAGAGUUCUUAUCGACAAAAGAGUUUGCGACCUCGAUGUUGAAUUAAAGAUUCUUUAUAGUGCAGAAGCUAUAUGAGAAGGUCUGUUCGACCUUUAAAUCUUUACAUGAUUUGAGUUCAGACCGGUGUGAGCCAGGUUGGUUUCUAUCUA
RNAcentral lists this ribosomal RNA (489 nucleotides) under Euastacus gumar. RNAcentral describes it as "partial 16S ribosomal RNA". It matches the Rfam family "Archaeal large subunit ribosomal RNA", at positions 2020 to 2713 of the family's 2987-position model. The record is from RNAcentral. Lineage: Eukaryota; Metazoa; Arthropoda; Malacostraca; Decapoda; Parastacidae.